This 497-nucleotide ribosomal RNA is filed under the name uncultured bacterium. Its description in RNAcentral is "partial 16S ribosomal RNA". It matches the Rfam family "Bacterial small subunit ribosomal RNA", at positions 28 to 507 of the family's 1533-position model. The record is from RNAcentral.
GAUGAACGCUGGCGGCGUGCCUAAUACAUGCAAGUCGAGCGAACGGACGAGAAGCUUGCUUCUCUGAUGUUAGCGGCGGACGGGUGAGUAACACGUGGAUAACCUACCUAUAAGACUGGGAUAACUUCGGGAAACCGGAGCUAAUACCGGAUAAUAUUUUGAACCGCAUGGUUCAAAAGUGAAAGACGGUCUUGCUGUCACUUAUAGAUGGAUCCGCGCUGCAUUAGCUAGUUGGUAAGGUAACGGCUUGCCAAGGCAACGAUGCAUAGCCGACCUGAGAGGGUGAUCGGCCAGCCUGGAACUGAGACACGGUACAGACACCUACGGGAGGCAGCAGUAGGGAAUCUUCCGCGAUGGGCGAAAGCCUGACGGAGCAACGCCGCGUGAGUGAUGAAGGUCCUCGGAUCGUAAAACUCUGUUAUUAGGGAAGAACAUAUGUGUAAGUAACUGUGCACAUCUUGACGGUACCUAAUCAGAAAGCCACGGCUAACUACGUG